Molecule: small RNA, 27 nt
Filed under: Bombyx mori (domestic silkworm)
Lineage: Eukaryota; Metazoa; Arthropoda; Insecta; Lepidoptera; Bombycidae
Description: ovarian small RNA-29585
Source: RNAcentral
UCUCAGUAUCAAACUCCAUCACGAAAC